Molecule: non-coding RNA, 19110 nt
Organism: Oncorhynchus mykiss (rainbow trout)
Lineage: Eukaryota; Metazoa; Chordata; Actinopteri; Salmoniformes; Salmonidae
Source: RefSeq, a predicted model, not a curated record
CUUAUGAAUACUGUUGUAUUAAAAGUCUAUAUUGAUUUUCACAAAGUUCUUGGUUGUGUCAUAUUUGAACCGAUUUGCCACUACAUAAUUGGCGAGCUUGCCAGGAGAAUUAGGGACUGAAUAACGUUCUUGGCUGGCAGCGGGAUCUUUGGACGAUCUGGGCAAACAAGGGUGGCCACCCAGCUAAGGUAAGACAACAGUGAAAUGUUUGCGUAGAUCGCUUCAGAGAUCCUGCCUCAGCAAGAGGAGCGUCAAGUAGGUCUCUCUCUCUCAAAUUUCCUAAAAACUAUAGAAACGAAAGAACUUUUUGAAAUUCAAUGAAUUUGCAUGCAUGUGUGUAAGCUUGGAAAUUGUAUAAUGAAUGUGCAUGCAUGUCUAGUGAGUAAGUAGGUGGGGGCUGUGAACUUCGCUGGUGUAGGGUGUGUUAUUCUGGCAUGUUGGGGCUGGGAUUGGGCACAGGGUUACAGCUAUCUGCUUAUAAGGUUUGAAUAAAAUAAGUAGUUAUAGAAGUCCUGCGAUACCGCUUCAAAAUAUUUACCAGAAGGUCUGAAUGGGUAGGUUACUUUAUUGAUAAGUAAUCCUGCGAUACCGCUUCAAAAUAUUUAGCUGAAGGACUGAAUGGGUAGGCUACUUUAUUGAUAAGUAGAUAGAUAAACAUUCAUGGCUACCGCUUCAAGGAAAAGGUCUGUACGGAUGAGUAUUUAGAAAAUAAAUACACAUGGCUACCGCUUUGAAAUGAAGGUCUGUACGGGUGAAUAUUUAAAACACAGAAAGAACGCUGGCCUGAUUGUGCGACGUUCAACUGAAAAAGGAAAUCCUGCGAAUAUAAAACGCUCCGUCUAGCUAAACGGGGGUUUAUAAAUCAGUAGGUCGCGCCACGAUAUUGCUCUAACGUAGAAUAAAGAUCAAUACGGGGUGGAUGAAUAGGAUAUGAAGACAAGCUGAUCCGAUUAGACAGUAGUCUCGUCAUGUCGUAAAAAUCCUAUAGGAUAAUACCAGUUUAUGUAGAGGAAGUGUAUUAAACUAGGGGAUAAACUAUAGGUCGUUUUUAGGUAAAAACGAAGGGUAUGCGUGAAAAAUCCUAUAGGAUAAUACCAGCUUAUGUAGAGGAAGUGAAUUAAGUUAGGUAAUAAACUGUUUUGUUUUUAGGUAAAGACAAAAGGAUUGAAUGAAUGCUGUAAUAUAAUUAUUUGUGAUGAAUGAGCAGAUUAGAAAGAAGAGGAAGAACAGGCUGUGUGUCUGUGACCAACUGGGAAUGCGCAGGCCUCUCUGACAGUUAACUAAGUGUAAUUUGAGAAAGAGAGCGCAUUUAACUCUCACUGGGAAGAGGAACGAAAUCGAUAAAUAUUGGGCAAGAUAAGUUAUACAUAAGCAUAAAACAUUGACUGGAUAAUGAGUUAAAAGACCAUUGUAAAAAUUACAAUAGGUGUUAAAAAGAGGUAUUAAACAAGGCAUGGAUAGUAUAAAACGGAUGCGAAGUAGGAAGAAAUAACUUAAAAAUAUACAGAUAAACUAAAAUAUACUGGUUAAAAUAAAUCUAGGCAAAAGUGAGAAUUGCAUGAAAAUAGAAGUCUAGAACACAUUAAAAAUAUCACGAGCCCUGUAAACGAAAUAGGAGGCUGCAAUUUAAAAAUAGCCUCAGGAAUUAAACAGUAAAAUAGGCUAAGAGAGAAUAUAGCAAGCGGAUAAAUAAAGAGAUAAGAAAGUGCAGACAUUAUAAAUAAGCUGAAUUAGAAGGAAAAUUAUAUGAAAUAGGAUUUAAUACAUUGAAUAAAGUUAAAGUAAUAGUAUAAGCAAAGAUAAAAACACAGUGAUAUUUGAGGUGCUGUACUAGAAUAAGACAUUAAGGCUUCUGUAGUAUUCAGUAAUACAGUUGUAGACAUUAUAGAGUAGGUUUUAAUAGGAGGUAUUAAGUGAUGUGACUAAUAAAUUAUUAUUUGAGAAAGUAGGGUAGAUCUACCUUGGAAAAUAGUAAAUAAAGUAUAUAAUGCGAUGGGAGAGUUUAGGAAAAAUAAAUAGUGGCAUGGAAACAAAUGGACUGUUUCUCCCGGGAAUAUAGAGAUAGCGAAAUUUAAUAAAGCCAUAGAGUCGCUGAAAGAAGCGCACGUUAAUUCUACCAAUUCGAUUUGAAUAUGAAGGAGCGGUUUGCUACAAUGUAGGGCAACAUUACCCGGUAAACAGGAUAAAUAAAAUAAUGAAUUGGAACGAUCACAUAAAACUAUAACAAGAAGCUUAACUUACCAGCGUUUUAAUGUUAAUUAACAUUAUAUCAUCAGAAAUACAUUACGAUGGGGGAAGUGUAAGAAGUUGUAGAGCAGGGCUAACUAGUGUGGGGGAAAAUUAGUGUAAGAUGACACUGGAAUGCGAUAGCAGAGAAUGCAGAAAUACAGGAAUUUACACCCGUUUUAAAAGAACAACAACUGAUCGUUCUAAGGUUAGUACGAAUGAAGUUUUCACCAAGCGGUGUAUAGUCUCUGAUUAAUCAAAAAGUGGUUCAUAGAGAGUACAGUUUAUGUGAUGAAAUACGUACUAGAUCACGUUUUACCUAACUUAUAGUAAGGUACCGAUGUAAUUUACAAAUAGCCCCACUCGGAGUCGUUUUGCAUUAAAAUGGCGGUUUCAGUGGUGAUAAAAUGCGUGGAGAAGUUGUUAUUAGCGUCAAAAUACGGAAAAUAAACGUAUAUGAAAAAUCACAAGCGUGGUAAAAAUAGUUAGAAGAAAAGCAAAUUGUAGAGUAUGGGUGUAUUCAAUUUCUAAGGGUAGGAUACAGAUGGCCGAGCAGGGGGGAAUUGUGCGUUCUGUGUAUGGCUGGAGCUUCUGUCGCAUGCUCGGGAAAUGUAAGGGGAUUUUAGUAUAUGUAAUACUAUUAGCUUGCUGAUUUAGAGGGUGGCAUGGUGAAUGUUAACGAAAUGUACAUUUCUUUUCCAGAAAAAAAGGGGUUACAUGUUCUCUGGUCAAAAUGUCAUUGGAAACUGUAGUACUGAGGAAAGCAGUUAGAGAUAUUUUGGCCACUAAAAAUCUUAGUAUCUGGUUAAGGCUAUAACUGGAGUUUCGGAUAAGUGAGGCCGGCUCAUGUGUAUUCUUGGCCUAUAUGCGAUAGUGGGUUUCCUUUGGAAGGGUUUUUUCAGUUCAGUUUCAAAUUGGGUAUGCAGAAGGAUGGAAAUGUUUUUGAAAAUGUAUUUGGGUUGUUUCUAAAGAAAGGAGAGUGGAAACAUUUUAAUGGUGUCAAAUGCCCUGAACCCUAAGAAUUUCCCUUGAAGAUUGAUCAACUUCACUAGAAAUUGUUGGAACAAGUGGGAUUUAAUUAUAAAAUGAUUGAGAAACACCAGUCUCUAUUCAAAGUGUACAAUCACUUUGAAAUUCCAUUAUUUCCUUGGGAAAAAGAUGAAGAGUUGUAAUCUUGAAUUGACUAGUUAUUCAAAUAGGUUUAUUUUUAUUUAACAUGGGGUUAUAGGAGAACAUAUCAGUUCCCUGGGGUUAUGGUCUUUGGGUAAAUACAAAAUGUGCUUUGUUCAUGCUACAUAUAAAAUGGAAAUAUAUGUAAACAAGGGAUAACAGUUACUCCAAAUAGGUUAUUGGAGUGGGGGUUUCUGCAAGGGUUAUGAUGAUAACUACAUAAUCUGUAACUCAUCUGAGAGAUCGCUAGUAGAAUAAGGGAGUUAUCAUGGAAAUGUAAUGUCAGACUGCAUUAAUGCUUGGGAGAGACUAUCAUAACACCAAGUGGGUGUGAAACUCAAACCCACCCUACUGGCUGAAUAGUGUGGGACAACUGUGUCUGAUGACCUGUGAACUGUAUCUGGAAUGAUAUGUACUGGGAGAAGAAAGACUAAAGGGGAUUGGGAUAAUGACCUUUUAUUACUAGGCCACUCAUGACAGAAAAACAGAGGUAAAAGGGUGCAUGGUAAAAUAGAUAUUACUGGUACUAAAAGUUUUUAGUAAAAUGUUAAUUAUUAAAGGGAUGAUGAAUUGAAUUGAGAAGGUCAAAUUUGAGUUAAAGUAAGCACUAAGGACUGUUAUUUUGAAUAUUGGGUUGGACAAUUAAUAAACAACAUUUAGUUAUGUUUUGAAUAUAGGACUGUUUAAAUUUACUAGGCCUAGGGAAGCUCUGGAAACUAAUCCUGAGACAGGUUGAUUGACAGAACUUGCAGAAUAUUAAAUUAAAGGUUUUUGUUUCUUUUAUUUUACAAUAUCAUUGUAAUUGGAGUAAUAAGUAAUUUAAUAAAAAGUAUAGUCUGUUGUGUGAUAACACCCAAGGAUGAAGAAGACAUUACAAAUAGUGGUAAUUUAUAGCAAAUAUGCAGUUAUUAUAAUUUACUUUACCAUUUUUCUUGUUUGGUCAAUUUAUUUUUGGUUUGAGGAAAAUAAGAGUGUAUAUUUUUCCUGAGGAGGGACUGAUAUAAAUUGACUAAAAAUGAUUUGAGAAUGUUUAAGUAUGUAUCAAACUAUGGAAGGAAAUUAGAAGUAGUGACUUAUGUGUUAUGGGUUAGAAAAACUGUAACUACAUUGGGGGCUCAUAUGAAGGUUAUGGUAACAAGGGGGGGUGUUAUUUCUAGAAACAGUGUAUAUUGAUAGACAAGAUAAUUCACAGAAAAGGAAGGACAGUUGGUCUUGUAAAAAUAUAGGGACAAUUCUAAAAGUAGAUAGAACAUUACACACACCUAGAUUAUGGUAAAAGUAAUAAGUAGUGGCAUUUUGAAGAAGCUUAGGACUUAGUUUUGUUAGGAUUGGAUAUUCUUCCAACUAGAAAACACUUGACUGAUUACAUGCAAUUCUUGCAGCAGUUACGGUAGGGACCAUAAUUUGGCUAUCAUUAUGAAUAUUUUUGUGGCAGGAGGCCAGGUAUUUAAGACAGAAUGUUUACAUAGGGCUGUUAUUUAAAAAUUAAGAUUUAGUGAUCCUGCUAUAAGAAGAAAGUCUGUUGUCAGGAAAUAACCCAUGUGUUAGUGUGUAUGUCCUCAGGAAAAAACAGCACAUAAGAGGCCAGAUGGAAGGGCAUAGGCUGAAUUCUGGAGACUGAGUGUACAUCAAGAUACAUCGGGCUGGGGAUAUACUUCUUACAGCACCUGCAGUGGUAAAGAUUGUCAUGUCUCUCUUUGGUGGGUGCAUAAGUCUCACAAGAAGUAAAGUCCAGCUGAAUAAUGGGUGAGCUUGAAAACACCAUGACAGAGGACGUGAAACAAACAAAAGAGAGAGACUAGAUUCUACUGUAGACAUACUGGGUUGAGUUUGGGGGUUAUUUGUUUUAUUUGAUAAUGUAUCAUGUGAAUAAGGAUAUAUGUUAGGGUAGUUGUACUCUAAACCACAUGUUGAAGGCUCAAUGUGGAAGCCCAUUCCGUGUUGAAUUACUUUAAGAAGCAAUAAUGUUGAUUUAAGGUUAUGCACAUGUUUAUCAGUUGAAACAGAGCAGAUGGGGAACUAAGUAAAAAAUGACAUGGUUUGGGAACACCUCUCAGAACCUGCGGCCGAAAGGGGAAGACUGGAUGAAAGCACGAGGAAGCCAAUUAGGGCCUCCAUUUUUGUGGAGUCCAGCAGAAAAGUAUCCUGGAGGCAUAGAGUCAGGUGAAGAGAGAGUGGGAAUUGUCAUGGUCUCAGAUUUCAGUAUUCAUUAAUACAGUCAUGCAUAACACAUAACAUUGUCAAUACUGUUAUGUUUUGUCCUUUGUUUUCCAAGUCUUAUGUUUAGGAAACCAGAUGGAGAAGUGUUCUCCAGCUUCAGCUGGAAUGUCAGUUUGUGUGAUGAGUGAUGGAAGUAAGAGAAUGUAUGGUGUAAUCAUAGAACAGAGGCCAUAAGUCUCUAAGUAUGAAUGCCCCACAGAAAGAAGGCAGAAAUCUGAACCAGGAUGAGAGGUUCCACAUCUGAUGAUCCAAGGGGACCAGAAGGAUCUCUCCCAGUGAUACCAGGAGAUCGAGUCUACGUUUGAGUGUUCCGAAGGAAGUGGGAUCAGCCGAGGAGGGAAGGACCCUACGAGGUGGCAACAGCCACAAACACGGCCGUCCAAGUGAAAGGAAGCAAGACGUGGUAUCAUCUAAACCACUGCACCCGAGUCCCGACGGAGAGAAGGACACAACCAUACAGAGAUGAGGACACAGAGGAUGCUGAUUCACCAGAAGGGACCCCGGAGGGAGCAGGAGCAGCGGAAUCGAUCAAAGCGCCGGGGAGGAAUCAAGAAAAUGGCAGACCAGAUACAACGAGUGCAUCGGCUAACACACUCAGAAGAACCGACCAGGGAAAAAGAGCCUGAAAAGAAAAGAGACAAACAACCAAAGUUUCCUCCAGUAUGGCCAGAAAGCCCAGAAGUGGGAGGGGGUAACAUGUCUGCCACUCCUGAUGAUAUACUUGUUGGGGCAGGCUUUGUUGACGGAAGCCUUCUACAGUGGGACCCCGAGGUAUCGCCUAAAGAAGGGGAACAUCUCUUCCCUGAAAUGGACGCCUUCCCAGAUGGAAGCCCAGUUCGGGCUGAGGAGGGAACAACAUGCGAAGAGAGUGGAGGAGAAGCCUUAUCAGGAACAACAAGUGAAGAAAGCAGAGGAGAAGCCUUACCAAGAGCAGAAGGAGAAAUCUUGCAAGAUGAAAGAAAUGGGGAUUUCCCCAAAAUUGACUUUUCAGCUCUUGAAUUGUCUCCAUAAUGAACAAUUGAAGUUAGACCCAUAGAAGAACAAUGAUAUUGACAUAACAGAAGUAACAGUGAACGCUAGAAUAGCAACAACAGACUCACGCACAAUCAAGAUGUAGGGUGGAAACAGGAAGAGAAGAGAGGAACCAGUCAAACAAUCUAAAAAGACUGACAAGGUUAGAAUCUCUGUCCCACCUCAACAUAUAACUGAAACAGAAGAAUAGAAGACAAAAGGAUCAAACCCUUACCGGAGAUUGCAUUCGGUGGAUGGACAUAUCAUCGAACGAAGAGAGAAGUCAUUUGGGACUCAAAAGGAUGUGACCUGACGUUAACCAAAGAAGUAGACGAGUGGGUGCUCACCAUGAAUCAGAUUGAACCAGUUGAAGGUGAAGAAUUAAUAGGUGAAAUAAUGAGAACAAGAUUGGCUGAAGGGAGUAGUUCCUCAGUCAUUCAGAAUUGGUCUUACGCCAAUACCUAAACAGGAAGAGCCUGUGGUAGCUAGAAAGCAUCAGAACCAGGAGGGUUCUUUACUGACAUUUUGAACUUUUUGACUAACUGUAAUGACCUACCUCAAGAUAAGAACAUUGCAAAGAUGACAGACACAGACAUACCAGACUCUGAACCACUCAAGGACACCACAUGAAAUGAAUAGUGAAGAAUGAGUGGUACGAUUAGGCUAAGUAUACAGCAGAAAUAAACAUAGGAGGGACAAUUGUAUUUUGUGUAGAAAAUCACCUUUGUCUGAUCUUUUGAUAGUACCUGAACCUGCAUCAUUUGAAGAAUGCGUUAAAUGUAAAAUGUUCAAUAUUCAGAGAAAAUACUACAUUCCCUUGUGUGACAUAGAAUGUAGGAUUGCUCGAGGGAGCACUAGAGGCAGAACCAUAUUAAAUUAGACUGGGUUGGGAGUUCAAGGCAAGAGAUGAAGUUAAAUCUGGAUUUGAAUCUUAAUUUUUGUGGAUAACAUCAAAUAAGAACUUAGAGUGGAUUAAUUACAUAUACUAUAACCAACAGAGAUUCAUUAACUAUACUGACUCGGCUUUAACGGCGUUGGGGGAAUAGGUACAGGAUACCAGUAAAAUGUCUUGCCAAAAUAGACAGGCUCUCAAUUGGCUUUUUGCAGAGAAGGGUGGAGUUUGUUAUGUUCGGGGAUGAUUGUUGCACCUUUAUUCCCAAUAACACUGCGCCUAAUGGAUUCUUUGCUGUCGCUAUGGCUAAACUUAAAGGGUUAAGAAAAGAGGUUAAGAAAAAUGCUGGGGUGGACUCUCAUGUUUGGGAUUGGUUGGACUUAGCAUUGGGGAAAUAGGGAGCCAUGUUUGCUAGGACGGCCUUUAUGCUGGAAGGGGGGUUAUUGGCUCUGGGUAUUGUAUUUUGUUGUGUUUUACCCUGGGUGAAAUCACUUGUGAUCCAGACAACGGUUAAACAGAUGUUUGUAAGUAGAGCUGACACUCCGGUGAUAGUUGAUCCUGUGCCGGGUAGGCCAGGCCACUAUACUGAUGAAAAUGGACAGUUAUGCUGUCAUUCCAAAUUCAUAAGAAAGUCAACUGAUGCAUAUCCACAAAAAGGGUCAUUUCCGUAGUAAGUACAAGAGGUGUUAUGUAAGGUCUACUUUUGCUCACGGCCUUGUGUUUUAGUAUGUUUUGUCAAAUGUUUUUAUAGGUAUAUCAAUGAAUAUAUCUGGUUUCUUUUAAUUAAAAGUUAGUUUUGCCUUCUAAAAUGCUAGGUUAUAUUUAAAAACAUGUAGGUAACAGUGGGAUAUCCCGGUUACAAGUGUCUACGGACCAUGUCCUUAAUCUUCUAACAGAGAUUGGUAUUGAUGGUAUCACGGUUGUUGGAGAGGUGUCUGAGAGGGAGAAUCAUGUGGAAAGCUUAAAUUUAGAAUGAUGUGUCAAUUUUAUUUUGUAACUGCAUGGAGGCCUAGUGUUUUCUCAUAUUCAAUUUAUUAUUUGACUCAUUGCUUUAUUAUAUAUAUUUUUAUUUUUUGCGUAGCUGAGAACCUCAGACAAGGUUAUGUAUUUACAUGCUCAUGCUUUAACAAAAGAUAAUGUAUUAUUUUUUGUUUCUAUACCGAACUAGAUAUUUUACUCUUAUGAAAUACUAGAGAUGUUUGGUGUAGGUGAUUAGGAAGUUUUAUUUUUUAAUUAUUUUUUAUUUUUUUAUUUAAAAAUAUUUUUUUUGAUAAUCGACUGUUGAUAUUAUGUUCCAUAUGUCCUUUUUAAGUUUUUGGUGCUUAUUAAAGCACCAGAGGGGGGUUAUGUGGGAGAAAUUAGGUACAUAUAUGGAUAAAUAUAUUGUCCUAUAUAAUGGCAUUUGCCAUUCUGGUAAGGUACAUUGUCUAUUGUAUAGGACAGGAAGCCAGAGUGGGGCCAUGGGAGAGGGCAACACCUAGGGCAGCUGGACAUACAAAGGUCAGAGGUUAUCUAAGGAGGGGGUCAGCCAAAGGACCAAUUGAUGGAUUACAGACAUCAAUCACAUCACAGGAGACAAGUCUGUUUGAUCUUAGACAACCAUAUGAAGAGAAGGCGACCAGAACAGCUAGGCACCCUAAAGCUAAAGGAGAUGAAAGACACCAAAAGGGACACAUGGAGUUAAUUACAGGGUAUGAACACAGGCCACAGGAAAGGGGAAUGUAUAGUAUUUUUAGUAUAGCUGAGCAUGCUAAAAACAGAAGAGACACAUAGUGUGCUGACCCUAGAUAACACACAAACAGGAGAACGCAUUAAGCUGAGUGAAGGGUCAAAGCAAGGGUCUUGUCACCAUUAGGAUCUAAUGGAAAGCAGAUGGGGGUGUUAUUGGGCUGAACAAGCAGGAAGCACGGAUUGGGAUGUAACUUAAUUUGCAUAUGGGAGGGACUUAUAUGGUAGGUGUAUAACUCAGAGCGAGGGCUCUGAAAAAGUGUGUGUGUUCCGCGGACCGCUCCGGCUUAUGAUACUGUUGUAUUAAAAGUCUAUAUUGAUUUUCACAAAGUUCUUGGUUGUGUCAUAUUUGAACCGAUUUGCCACUACAUAAUUGGCGAGCUUGCCAGGAGAAUUAGGGACUGAAUAACGUUCUUGGCUGGCAGCGGGAUCUUUGGACGAUCUGGGCAAACAAGGGUGGCCACCCAGCUAAGGUAAGACAACAGUGAAAUGUUUGCGUAGAUCGCUUCAGAGAUCCUGCCUCAGCAAGAGGAGCGUCAAGUAGGUCUCUCUCUCUCAAAUUUCCUAAAAACUAUAGAAACGAAAGAACUUUUUGAAAUUCAAUGAAUUUGCAUGCAUGUGUGUAAGCUUGGAAAUUGUAUAAUGAAUGUGCAUGCAUGUCUAGUGAGUAAGUAGGUGGGGGCUGUGAACUUCGCUGGUGUAGGGUGUGUUAUUCUGGCAUGUUGGGGCUGGGAUUGGGCACAGGGUUACAGCUAUCUGCUUAUAAGGUUUGAAUAAAAUAAGUAGUUAUAGAAGUCCUGCGAUACCGCUUCAAAAUAUUUACCAGAAGGUCUGAAUGGGUAGGUUACUUUAUUGAUAAGUAAUCCUGCGAUACCGCUUCAAAAUAUUUAGCUGAAGGACUGAAUGGGUAGGCUACUUUAUUGAUAAGUAGAUAGAUAAACAUUCAUGGCUACCGCUUCAAGGAAAAGGUCUGUACGGAUGAGUAUUUAGAAAAUAAAUACACAUGGCUACCGCUUUGAAAUGAAGGUCUGUACGGGUGAAUAUUUAAAACACAGAAAGAACGCUGGCCUGAUUGUGCGACGUUCAACUGAAAAAGGAAAUCCUGCGAAUAUAAAACGCUCCGUCUAGCUAAACGGGGGUUUAUAAAUCAGUAGGUCGCGCCACGAUAUUGCUCUAACGUAGAAUAAAGAUCAAUACGGGGUGGAUGAAUAGGAUAUGAAGACAAGCUGAUCCGAUUAGACAGUAGUCUCGUCAUGUCGUAAAAAUCCUAUAGGAUAAUACCAGUUUAUGUAGAGGAAGUGUAUUAAACUAGGGGAUAAACUAUAGGUCGUUUUUAGGUAAAAACGAAGGGUAUGCGUGAAAAAUCCUAUAGGAUAAUACCAGCUUAUGUAGAGGAAGUGAAUUAAGUUAGGUAAUAAACUGUUUUGUUUUUAGGUAAAGACAAAAGGAUUGAAUGAAUGCUGUAAUAUAAUUAUUUGUGAUGAAUGAGCAGAUUAGAAAGAAGAGGAAGAACAGGCUGUGUGUCUGUGACCAACUGGGAAUGCGCAGGCCUCUCUGACAGUUAACUAAGUGUAAUUUGAGAAAGAGAGCGCAUUUAACUCUCACUGGGAAGAGGAACGAAAUCGAUAAAUAUUGGGCAAGAUAAGUUAUACAUAAGCAUAAAACAUUGACUGGAUAAUGAGUUAAAAGACCAUUGUAAAAAUUACAAUAGGUGUUAAAAAGAGGUAUUAAACAAGGCAUGGAUAGUAUAAAACGGAUGCGAAGUAGGAAGAAAUAACUUAAAAAUAUACAGAUAAACUAAAAUAUACUGGUUAAAAUAAAUCUAGGCAAAAGUGAGAAUUGCAUGAAAAUAGAAGUCUAGAACACAUUAAAAAUAUCACGAGCCCUGUAAACGAAAUAGGAGGCUGCAAUUUAAAAAUAGCCUCAGGAAUUAAACAGUAAAAUAGGCUAAGAGAGAAUAUAGCAAGCGGAUAAAUAAAGAGAUAAGAAAGUGCAGACAUUAUAAAUAAGCUGAAUUAGAAGGAAAAUUAUAUGAAAUAGGAUUUAAUACAUUGAAUAAAGUUAAAGUAAUAGUAUAAGCAAAGAUAAAAACACAGUGAUAUUUGAGGUGCUGUACUAGAAUAAGACAUUAAGGCUUCUGUAGUAUUCAGUAAUACAGUUGUAGACAUUAUAGAGUAGGUUUUAAUAGGAGGUAUUAAGUGAUGUGACUAAUAAAUUAUUAUUUGAGAAAGUAGGGUAGAUCUACCUUGGAAAAUAGUAAAUAAAGUAUAUAAUGCGAUGGGAGAGUUUAGGAAAAAUAAAUAGUGGCAUGGAAACAAAUGGACUGUUUCUCCCGGGAAUAUAGAGAUAGCGAAAUUUAAUAAAGCCAUAGAGUCGCUGAAAGAAGCGCACGUUAAUUCUACCAAUUCGAUUUGAAUAUGAAGGAGCGGUUUGCUACAAUGUAGGGCAACAUUACCCGGUAAACAGGAUAAAUAAAAUAAUGAAUUGGAACGAUCACAUAAAACUAUAACAAGAAGCUUAACUUACCAGCGUUUUAAUGUUAAUUAACAUUAUAUCAUCAGAAAUACAUUACGAUGGGGGAAGUGUAAGAAGUUGUAGAGCAGGGCUAACUAGUGUGGGGGAAAAUUAGUGUAAGAUGACACUGGAAUGCGAUAGCAGAGAAUGCAGAAAUACAGGAAUUUACACCCGUUUUAAAAGAACAACAACUGAUCGUUCUAAGGUUAGUACGAAUGAAGUUUUCACCAAGCGGUGUAUAGUCUCUGAUUAAUCAAAAAGUGGUUCAUAGAGAGUACAGUUUAUGUGAUGAAAUACGUACUAGAUCACGUUUUACCUAACUUAUAGUAAGGUACCGAUGUAAUUUACAAAUAGCCCCACUCGGAGUCGUUUUGCAUUAAAAUGGCGGUUUCAGUGGUGAUAAAAUGCGUGGAGAAGUUGUUAUUAGCGUCAAAAUACGGAAAAUAAACGUAUAUGAAAAAUCACAAGCGUGGUAAAAAUAGUUAGAAGAAAAGCAAAUUGUAGAGUAUGGGUGUAUUCAAUUUCUAAGGGUAGGAUACAGAUGGCCGAGCAGGGGGGAAUUGUGCGUUCUGUGUAUGGCUGGAGCUUCUGUCGCAUGCUCGGGAAAUGUAAGGGGAUUUUAGUAUAUGUAAUACUAUUAGCUUGCUGAUUUAGAGGGUGGCAUGGUGAAUGUUAACGAAAUGUACAUUUCUUUUCCAGAAAAAAAGGGGUUACAUGUUCUCUGGUCAAAAUGUCAUUGGAAACUGUAGUACUGAGGAAAGCAGUUAGAGAUAUUUUGGCCACUAAAAAUCUUAGUAUCUGGUUAAGGCUAUAACUGGAGUUUCGGAUAAGUGAGGCCGGCUCAUGUGUAUUCUUGGCCUAUAUGCGAUAGUGGGUUUCCUUUGGAAGGGUUUUUUCAGUUCAGUUUCAAAUUGGGUAUGCAGAAGGAUGGAAAUGUUUUUGAAAAUGUAUUUGGGUUGUUUCUAAAGAAAGGAGAGUGGAAACAUUUUAAUGGUGUCAAAUGCCCUGAACCCUAAGAAUUUCCCUUGAAGAUUGAUCAACUUCACUAGAAAUUGUUGGAACAAGUGGGAUUUAAUUAUAAAAUGAUUGAGAAACACCAGUCUCUAUUCAAAGUGUACAAUCACUUUGAAAUUCCAUUAUUUCCUUGGGAAAAAGAUGAAGAGUUGUAAUCUUGAAUUGACUAGUUAUUCAAAUAGGUUUAUUUUUAUUUAACAUGGGGUUAUAGGAGAACAUAUCAGUUCCCUGGGGUUAUGGUCUUUGGGUAAAUACAAAAUGUGCUUUGUUCAUGCUACAUAUAAAAUGGAAAUAUAUGUAAACAAGGGAUAACAGUUACUCCAAAUAGGUUAUUGGAGUGGGGGUUUCUGCAAGGGUUAUGAUGAUAACUACAUAAUCUGUAACUCAUCUGAGAGAUCGCUAGUAGAAUAAGGGAGUUAUCAUGGAAAUGUAAUGUCAGACUGCAUUAAUGCUUGGGAGAGACUAUCAUAACACCAAGUGGGUGUGAAACUCAAACCCACCCUACUGGCUGAAUAGUGUGGGACAACUGUGUCUGAUGACCUGUGAACUGUAUCUGGAAUGAUAUGUACUGGGAGAAGAAAGACUAAAGGGGAUUGGGAUAAUGACCUUUUAUUACUAGGCCACUCAUGACAGAAAAACAGAGGUAAAAGGGUGCAUGGUAAAAUAGAUAUUACUGGUACUAAAAGUUUUUAGUAAAAUGUUAAUUAUUAAAGGGAUGAUGAAUUGAAUUGAGAAGGUCAAAUUUGAGUUAAAGUAAGCACUAAGGACUGUUAUUUUGAAUAUUGGGUUGGACAAUUAAUAAACAACAUUUAGUUAUGUUUUGAAUAUAGGACUGUUUAAAUUUACUAGGCCUAGGGAAGCUCUGGAAACUAAUCCUGAGACAGGUUGAUUGACAGAACUUGCAGAAUAUUAAAUUAAAGGUUUUUGUUUCUUUUAUUUUACAAUAUCAUUGUAAUUGGAGUAAUAAGUAAUUUAAUAAAAAGUAUAGUCUGUUGUGUGAUAACACCCAAGGAUGAAGAAGACAUUACAAAUAGUGGUAAUUUAUAGCAAAUAUGCAGUUAUUAUAAUUUACUUUACCAUUUUUCUUGUUUGGUCAAUUUAUUUUUGGUUUGAGGAAAAUAAGAGUGUAUAUUUUUCCUGAGGAGGGACUGAUAUAAAUUGACUAAAAAUGAUUUGAGAAUGUUUAAGUAUGUAUCAAACUAUGGAAGGAAAUUAGAAGUAGUGACUUAUGUGUUAUGGGUUAGAAAAACUGUAACUACAUUGGGGGCUCAUAUGAAGGUUAUGGUAACAAGGGGGGGUGUUAUUUCUAGAAACAGUGUAUAUUGAUAGACAAGAUAAUUCACAGAAAAGGAAGGACAGUUGGUCUUGUAAAAAUAUAGGGACAAUUCUAAAAGUAGAUAGAACAUUACACACACCUAGAUUAUGGUAAAAGUAAUAAGUAGUGGCAUUUUGAAGAAGCUUAGGACUUAGUUUUGUUAGGAUUGGAUAUUCUUCCAACUAGAAAACACUUGACUGAUUACAUGCAAUUCUUGCAGCAGUUACGGUAGGGACCAUAAUUUGGCUAUCAUUAUGAAUAUUUUUGUGGCAGGAGGCCAGGUAUUUAAGACAGAAUGUUUACAUAGGGCUGUUAUUUAAAAAUUAAGAUUUAGUGAUCCUGCUAUAAGAAGAAAGUCUGUUGUCAGGAAAUAACCCAUGUGUUAGUGUGUAUGUCCUCAGGAAAAAACAGCACAUAAGAGGCCAGAUGGAAGGGCAUAGGCUGAAUUCUGGAGACUGAGUGUACAUCAAGAUACAUCGGGCUGGGGAUAUACUUCUUACAGCACCUGCAGUGGUAAAGAUUGUCAUGUCUCUCUUUGGUGGGUGCAUAAGUCUCACAAGAAGUAAAGUCCAGCUGAAUAAUGGGUGAGCUUGAAAACACCAUGACAGAGGACGUGAAACAAAACAAAAGAGAGAGACUAGAUUCUACUGUAGACAUACUGGGUUGAGUUUGGGGGUUAUUUGUUUUAUUUGAUAAUGUAUCAUGUGAAUAAGGAUAUAUGUUAGGGUAGUUGUACUCUAAACCACAUGUUGAAGGCUCAAUGUGGAAGCCCAUUCCGUGUUGAAUUACUUUAAGAAGCAAUAAUGUUGAUUUAAGGUUAUGCACAUGUUUAUCAGUUGAAACAGAGCAGAUGGGGAACUAAGUAAAAAAUGACAUGGUUUGGGAACACCUCUCAGAACCUGCGGCCGAAAGGGGAAGACUGGAUGAAAGCACGAGGAAGCCAAUUAGGGCCUCCAUUUUUGUGGAGUCCAGCAGAAAAGUAUCCUGGAGGCAUAGAGUCAGGUGAAGAGAGAGUGGGAAUUGUCAUGGUCUCAGAUUUCAGUAUUCAUUAAUACAGUCAUGCAUAACACAUAACAUUGUCAAUACUGUUAUGUUUUGUCCUUUGUUUUCCAAGUCUUAUGUUUAGGAAACCAGAUGGAGAAGUGUUCUCCAGCUUCAGCUGGAAUGUCAGUUUGUGUGAUGAGUGAUGGAAGUAAGAGAAUGUAUGGUGUAAUCAUAGAACAGAGGCCAUAAGUCUCUAAGUAUGAAUGCCCCACAGAAAGAAGGCAGAAAUCUGAACCAGGAUGAGAGGUUCCACAUCUGAUGAUCCAAGGGGACCAGAAGGAUCUCUCCCAGUGAUACCAGGAGAUCGAGUCUACGUUUGAGUGUUCCGAAGGAAGUGGGAUCAGCCGAGGAGGGAAGGACCCUACGAGGUGGCAACAGCCACAAACACGGCCGUCCAAGUGAAAGGAAGCAAGACGUGGUAUCAUCUAAACCACUGCACCCGAGUCCCGACGGAGAGAAGGACACAACCAUACAGAGAUGAGGACACAGAGGAUGCUGAUUCACCAGAAGGGACCCCGGAGGGAGCAGGAGCAGCGGAAUCGAUCAAAGCGCCGGGGAGGAAUCAAGAAAAUGGCAGACCAGAUACAACGAGUGCAUCGGCUAACACACUCAGAAGAACCGACCAGGGAAAAAGAGCCUGAAAAGAAAAGAGACAAACAACCAAAGUUUCCUCCAGUAUGGCCAGAAAGCCCAGAAGUGGGAGGGGGUAACAUGUCUGCCACUCCUGAUGAUAUACUUGUUGGGGCAGGCUUUGUUGACGGAAGCCUUCUACAGUGGGACCCCGAGGUAUCGCCUAAAGAAGGGGAACAUCUCUUCCCUGAAAUGGACGCCUUCCCAGAUGGAAGCCCAGUUCGGGCUGAGGAGGGAACAACAUGCGAAGAGAGUGGAGGAGAAGCCUUAUCAGGAACAACAAGUGAAGAAAGCAGAGGAGAAGCCUUACCAAGAGCAGAAGGAGAAAUCUUGCAAGAUGAAAGAAAUGGGGAUUUCCCCAAAAUUGACUUUUCAGCUCUUGAAUUGUCUCCAUAAUGAACAAUUGAAGUUAGACCCAUAGAAGAACAAUGAUAUUGACAUAACAGAAGUAACAGUGAACGCUAGAAUAGCAACAACAGACUCACGCACAAUCAAGAUGUAGGGUGGAAACAGGAAGAGAAGAGAGGAACCAGUCAAACAAUCUAAAAAGACUGACAAGGUUAGAAUCUCUGUCCCACCUCAACAUAUAACUGAAACAGAAGAAUAGAAGACAAAAGGAUCAAACCCUUACCGGAGAUUGCAUUCGGUGGAUGGACAUAUAAUCGAACGAAGAGAGAAGUCAUUUGGGACUCAAAAGGAUGUGACCUGACGUUAACCAAAGAAGUAGACGAGUGGGUGCUCACCAUGAAUCAGAUUGAACCAGUUGAAGGUGAAGAAUUAAUAGGUGAAAUAAUGAGAACAAGAUUGGCUGAAGGGAGUAGUUCCUCAGUCAUUCAGAAUUGGUCUUACGCCAAUACCUAAACAGGAAGAGCCUGUGGUAGCUAGAAAGCAUCAGAACCAGGAGGGUUCUUUACUGACAUUUUGAACUUUUUGACUAACUUUAAUGACCUACCUCAAGAUAAGAACAUUGCAAAGAUGACAGACACAGACAUACCAGACUCUGAACCACUCAAGGACACCACAUGAAAUGAAUAGUGAAGAAUGAGUGGUACGAUUAGGCUAAGUAUACAGCAGAAAUAAACAUAGGAGGGACAAUUGUAUUUUGUGUAGAAAAUCACCUUUGUCUGAUCUUUUGAUAGUACCUGAACCUGCAUCAUUUGAAGAAUGCGUUAAAUGUAAAAUGUUCAAUAUUCAGAGAAAAUACUACAUUCCCUUGUGUGACAUAGAAUGUAGGAUUGCUCGAGGGAGCACUAGAGGCAGAACCAUAUUAAAUUAGACUGGGUUGGGAGUUCAAGGCAAGAGAUGAAGUUAAAUCUGGAUUUGAAUCUUAAUUUUUGUGGAUAACAUCAAAUAAGAACUUAGAGUGGAUUAAUUACAUAUACUAUAACCAACAGAGAUUCAUUAACUAUACUGACUCGGCUUUAACGGCGUUGGGGGAAUAGGUACAGGAUACCAGUAAAAUGUCUUGCCAAAAUAGACAGGCUCUCAAUUGGCUUUUUGCAGAGAAGGGUGGAGUUUGUUAUGUUCGGGGAUGAUUGUUGCACCUUUAUUCCCAAUAACACUGCGCCUAAUGGAUUCUUUGCUGUCGCUAUGGCUAAACUUAAAGGGUUAAGAAAAGAGGUUAAGAAAAAUGCUGGGGUGGACUCUCAUGUUUGGGAUUGGUUGGACUUAGCAUUGGGGAAAUAGGGAGCCAUGUUUGCUAGGACGGCCUUUAUGCUGGAAGGGGGGUUAUUGGCUCUGGGUAUUGUAUUUUGUUGUGUUUUACCCUGGGUGAAAUCACUUGUGAUCCAGACAACGGUUAAACAGAUGUUUGUAAGUAGAGCUGACACUCCGGUGAUAGUUGAUCCUGUGCCGGGUAGGCCAGGCCACUAUACUGAUGAAAAUGGACAGUUAUGCUGUCAUUCCAAAUUCAUAAGAAAGUCAACUGAUGCAUAUCCACAAAAAGGGUCAUUUCCGUAGUAAGUACAAGAGGUGUUAUGUAAGGUCUACUUUUGCUCACGGCCUUGUGUUUUAGUAUGUUUUGUCAAAUGUUUUUAUAGGUAUAUCAAUGAAUAUAUCUGGUUUCUUUUAAUUAAAAGUUAGUUUUGCCUUCUAAAAUGCUAGGUUAUAUUUAAAAACAUGUAGGUAACAGUGGGAUAUCCCGGUUACAAGUGUCUACGGACCAUGUCCUUAAUCUUCUAACAGAGAUUGGUAUUGAUGGUAUCACGGUUGUUGGAGAGGUGUCUGAGAGGGAGAAUCAUGUGGAAAGCUUAAAUUUAGAAUGAUGUGUCAAUUUUAUUUUGUAACUGCAUGGAGGCCUAGUGUUUUCUCAUAUUCAAUUUAUUAUUUGACUCAUUGCUUUAUUAUAUAUAUUUUUAUUUUUUGCGUAGCUGAGAACCUCAGACAAGGUUAUGUAUUUACAUGCUCAUGCUUUAACAAAAGAUAAUGUAUUAUUUUUUGUUUCUAUACCGAACUAGAUAUUUUACUCUUAUGAAAUACUAGAGAUGUUUGGUGUAGGUGAUUAGGAAGUUUUAUUUUUUAAUUAUUUUUUAUUUUUUUAUUUAAAAAUAUUUUUUUUGAUAAUCGACUGUUGAUAUUAUGUUCCAUAUGUCCUUUUUAAGUUUUUGGUGCUUAUUAAAGCACCAGAGGGGGGUUAUGUGGGAGAAAUUAGGUACAUAUAUGGAUAAAUAUAUUGUCCUAUAUAAUGGCAUUUGCCAUUCUGGUAAGGUACAUUGUCUAUUGUAUAGGACAGGAAGCCAGAGUGGGGCCAUGGGAGAGGGCAACACCUAGGGCAGCUGGACAUACAAAGGUCAGAGGUUAUCUAAGGAGGGGGUCAGCCAAAGGACCAAUUGAUGGAUUACAGACAUCAAUCACAUCACAGGAGACAAGUCUGUUUGAUCUUAGACAACCAUAUGAAGAGAAGGCGACCAGAACAGCUAGGCACCCUAAAGCUAAAGGAGAUGAAAGACACCAAAAGGGACACAUGGAGUUAAUUACAGGGUAUGAACACAGGCCACAGGAAAGGGGAAUGUAUAGUAUUUUUAGUAUAGCUGAGCAUGCUAAAAACAGAAGAGACACAUAGUCUGCUGACCCUAGAUAACACACAAACAGGAGAACGCAUUAAGCUGAGUGAAGGGUCAAAGCAAGGGUCUUGUCACCAUUAGGAUCUAAUGGAAAGCAGAUGGGGGUGUUAUUGGGCUGAACAAGCAGGAAGCACGGAUUGGGAUGUAACUUAAUUUGCAUAUGGGAGGGACUUAUAUGGUAGGUGUAUAACUCAGAGCGAGGGCUCUGAAAAAGUGUGUGUGUUCCGCGGACCGCUCCGGCUUAUGAUACUGUUGUAUUAAAAGUCUAUAUUGAUUUUCACAAA